UACGAAGGGUGCAAGCGUUAAUCGGAAUUACUGGGCGUAAAGAGCUCGUAGGUGGUUUGUCGCGUUGUUCGUGAAAACUCACAGCUCAACUGUGGGCGUGCGGGCGAUACGGGCAGACUGGAGUACUGCAGGGGAGACUGGAAUUCCUGGUGUAGCGGUGGAAUGCGCAGAUAUCAGGAGGAACACCGGUGGCGAAGGCGGGUCUCUGGGCAGUAACUGACGCUGAGGAGCGAAAGCGUGGGGAGCGAACAGG
This 253-nucleotide ribosomal RNA is filed under the name uncultured bacterium. RNAcentral's name for it is "partial 16S ribosomal RNA". It matches the Rfam family "Bacterial small subunit ribosomal RNA", at positions 524 to 776 of the family's 1533-position model. The record is from RNAcentral.